This 253-nucleotide ribosomal RNA is filed under the name uncultured bacterium. RNAcentral's name for it is "partial 16S ribosomal RNA". It matches the Rfam family "Bacterial small subunit ribosomal RNA", at positions 524 to 776 of the family's 1533-position model. The record is from RNAcentral.
UACGUAGGGGGCAAGCGUUGUCCGGAUUUAUUGGGCGUAAAGCGCGUGUAGGCGGCCAGGUAGGUCCGCUGUGAAAACCCGAGGCUCAACCUCGGGACGUCGGCGGAAACCAUUUGGCUAGAGUCCGGAAGAGGAGAGUGGAAUUCCCGGUGUAGCGGUGAAAUGCGCAGAUAUCGGGAAGAACACCCGUGGCGAAGGCGGCUCUCUGGGACGGUACUGACGCUGAGACGCGAAAGCGUGGGGAGCGAACAGG